RNAcentral lists this ribosomal RNA (563 nucleotides) under uncultured bacterium. RNAcentral describes it as "partial 16S ribosomal RNA". It matches the Rfam family "Bacterial small subunit ribosomal RNA", at positions 36 to 538 of the family's 1533-position model. The record is from RNAcentral.
GACGCCGGCGGCGUNNCUUAGGCUGCCNGUCGAACGAGAAAAGUUUCUUCGGAAACUGAGUAAAGUGGCAAACGGGUGAGUAACGCGUGGGAAACCUACCUUUCAGUUGGGGACAACACUUCUAACGAGGUGCUAAUACCGAAUACGAUCUUUCCAUUGCAUGAUGGAUUGAUGAAAGGCGGCCUCUGUUUACAAGCUGUCUCUGAAAGAUGGUCCCGCGUCCCAUUAGCUUGUUGGUGAGAUAACAGCCCACCAAGGCGACGAUGGGUAGCCGGCCUUAGCGGGUGAUCAGCCACACUGGGACUGAGACACGGCCCAGACUCCUACGGGAGGCAGCAGUGGGGAAUAUUGGACAAUGGGCGCAAGCCUGAUCCAGCAAUGCCGCGUGUGUGAANAAGGCCUGCGGGUUGUAAAGCACUUUCAGUAGGGAANAAAUGCCUGGGGUUGAUANCUCCGGUCUUGACGUUCCUACANAAAAACACCGCUACUCCUCCANCACCCCGGUAUUCCGAGGGUNCNACCUUAUCGAAUACUGGCUUAACCCCCUAGCNGUUGNCNUCNAU